UCAGUUCAGACUGCAGGCUGCAACUCGCCUGCAUGAAGUCGGAAUUGCUAGUAAUCGUAGGUCAGCAUACUACGGUGAAUACGUUCCCGGGCCUUGUACACACCGCCCGUCAAACCAUGAGAGUUGGCAACACCCGAAGUCGGUAGUCUAACCGCAAGGAGGACGCCGCCGAAGGUGGGGUUGAUGAUUAGGGUUAAGUCGUAACAAGGUAGC
RNAcentral lists this ribosomal RNA (213 nucleotides) under uncultured bacterium. Its description in RNAcentral is "partial 16S ribosomal RNA". It matches the Rfam family "Bacterial small subunit ribosomal RNA", at positions 1288 to 1500 of the family's 1533-position model. The record is from RNAcentral.